This 28-nucleotide non-coding RNA is filed under the name Bombyx mori (domestic silkworm). Lineage: Eukaryota; Metazoa; Arthropoda; Insecta; Lepidoptera; Bombycidae. The record is from RNAcentral.
UAGAAUACAGAGGUUGGACUAAAUUUAA